RNAcentral lists this transfer RNA (74 nucleotides) under Microscillaceae bacterium. RNAcentral's name for it is "tRNA-His". It matches the Rfam family "tRNA". From Rfam's summary of the family: Transfer RNA (tRNA) molecules are approximately 80 nucleotides in length. Their secondary structure includes four short double-helical elements and three loops (D, anti-codon, and T loops). Lineage: Bacteria; Pseudomonadati; Bacteroidota; Cytophagia; Cytophagales; Microscillaceae. The record is from RNAcentral.
GCGGUUGUAGCUCAGUAGGUUAGAGCACCAGAUUGUGGUUCUGGGGGUCGCCGGUUCGAGCCCGGUCAUCCGCC